Mesorhizobium amorphae CCNWGS0123 is the source of this 146-nucleotide non-coding RNA. NCBI's taxonomy places the organism in Bacteria, Pseudomonadati, Pseudomonadota, Alphaproteobacteria, Hyphomicrobiales, Phyllobacteriaceae. The record is from Rfam.
GCGGGGGGUCCAUCAGCCGUUCCCAACCGGACAUGCCGAGCCGUUAACAGCUCGGUGUGAAGCUCUGUGACAACCUAGCCGCCGAUACCCGGUACGCCGACCCGCGAGGCAAGGCGGAAUCUGCCAGCACGAAGGCCGAGAGGAGC